RNAcentral lists this ribosomal RNA (412 nucleotides) under uncultured microorganism. RNAcentral's name for it is "bacterial SSU rRNA". It matches the Rfam family "Bacterial small subunit ribosomal RNA", at positions 9 to 424 of the family's 1533-position model. The record is from RNAcentral.
GAGUUUGAUCGUGGCUCAGGACGAACGCUGGCGGCGUGCUUAACACAUGCAAGUCGAACGGUAAGGCUCCAGCUUGCUGGGGUACACGAGUGGCGAACGGGUGAGUAACACGUGGGUGACCUGCCCUGCACUUCGGGAUAAGCCUGGGAAACUGGGUCUAAUACCGGAUAGGACCGCACCGUGAGGGUGUGGUGGAAAGUUUUUUCGGUGUGGGAUGGGCCCGCGGCCUAUCAGCUUGUUGGUGGGGUAAUGGCCUACCAAGGCGGCGACGGGUAGCCGGCCUGAGAGGGUGGACGGCCACAUUGGGACUGAGACACGGCCCAGACUCCUUCGGGAGGCAGCAGUGGGGAAUAUUGCACAAUGGGCGGAAGCCUGAUGCAGCGACGCCGCGUGGGGGAUGACGGCCUCGGUU